GUCAGAUUACUGAGAAAGAUUGUUCUGGACAGAAGUCAAAGCUGUUGGAUAUUCAGCUAAGAGAUCUAAGGUCCUAUAAUAUUACUUGGGAGUCUUAUGAGGAUCAAAAAAUUUAAUGGUAAAGUAUCUGUUCAAAAUUCUAGAUUCUCUACAAAGUUGUUUCUUGAUGGAGACCUAUCUGAGAUUGCUAAAUUUAAAAAGCAG
Molecule: non-coding RNA, 204 nt
Organism: Camelina sativa (false flax)
Lineage: Eukaryota; Viridiplantae; Streptophyta; Magnoliopsida; Brassicales; Brassicaceae
Source: RefSeq, a predicted model, not a curated record